AGGGGAGGGGCAAAGCAGCAGAGAUUCAGGUCAACAUUACUCAUGACAAUGAGUCACCCAUUGGCGAUUUACCUGAGCAGCCAUUGCUGCAAAUGGAGGAGGAACCAACUAUAAAUCCACAAGUCCCAAAAGAAAUGGAGCAAAUGUGUUUAGAUUUGACCCUCAGUCCCCCUCAGCUGUCAGACUCCAUAGCUAUAGAGAGUGGCCAAGACGAGGCUGCUGCGGACACUAUAGGACAGUUUGAUAAUGUAGCAGAAGAUGAGAAAGAGGAGGCAGUAGAAGAGAGUUUGCACAUAUAUAAUCCAGAUGCCUUAUGCCUCAUCUGUCAACAAAAGCUUAAUGACCGAUACAUGGUUUGCUGCAACAGUUGCCAGGGCUGUUUCCAUGGCGAUUGUGUUGGUGACAUGAAGAAGGAUGGCACAGAGUUUAUUUGCUCAUUUUGCACGACAAAAGAACAGAACCAGCUUCAGACAGAUCUCACGAUUCAACCUGAGCUGGGAAUGAGCCCAUUGAAAAGUCUAAUGCAGAGUCCACCGACGGAACGCAGUGAAGAUGCUGAGAACCAACAAACACAGGUGAAAAUUCUUUUGAAUUACAAAGUGUAGACACUACGUGUAAGUCCUUCAGUGUGUAUUGCUCAUUGUGUCAUAAUUUUGACUUGAGCGUCUGGUUUUAGAGCACUUUGGAAAUGAUGGAGGUUGAAGAUAACCCUUUAUUAACAGUGGAAACUGAACCUGCCACAGCGUCCCAGACCAGUUCUUCGGUCUGUAUUGGACCUGAUUGUGGUAAAGCUGCUUUGUCAGGAUCUGUGUACUGUUGCAGUGACUGCAUCAUGCAGCACGCAGCUGCCACUAUCAAAAACCUGGCGGUGCCUAAAGCACCCAAGACAAGAGGACGAACUCAGAGGAAAGCUGCCCCUGCCCGAGCCCCUGCUAAGACGCAGAGGGGGAGUAGGGUGUCGAAGAGAUUGGCGGACAAAACUGAAGCAGAGGAGCAGAAGGAAGAGGAGGAUGGACAGGAGUCAGAGUCCAGUCAAACUUGCGACCCCAGUCUCACUGAGGCUCAGGCUACACAUUGUAACGCCUCAACCAAUGAGGACCCUGGAGUCGCCACAGAUGUCAAUGAGACUUUUACUCCCUCAGAUCAGCCUUCAGAAGAGGCUACUCCUCCAACACCAGUCAUUCCCGUCAUUGCCACACCUUCCACACCGCCUGAAGUCAAAACCCACCCUCCAAAACCUACACCUGAACCAGUUUUACUACAGAACUCUCCUGAAAAGCCAAAAGAGCCGGUCGCUAGUAAUGUUCCCAAGCAGAGUCCAAAAAGAUCAUUGCAAUCAGAUUCUGUCACCUCGCCCAAACCAAUGGUCAGAGCGCAAACGACAACAAAACCCACUAAAUCCGCAGAAACUCAACCUCAUGCCGCAUUCAUCAACAGACUGCAUGAAACAGGUGCUAUUGUGGCCAAAAAGACUUCAUUCGUCAUACCGAAGAAGACCUCUGCAGUUCCCCCACCCCAACCGAACCAAGCAUCACCCUCUGCAUCGCCGCCGAAGCCGUCCUCUGUGCCUGCUUCGCAAGGCGAGACCCGGAACCUGCUCGUUCCCCCUGCGCCCAGUGCCCCUUCCUCUAGACCGUCCCAGCCCAACAACCAAGUCAGGCAAAGUAUCCAACGCUCUCUAGUCGGCAUCCUGUAUAAGAGGUAGGUUGUGUUUCAGUUUUUAACAUAAAUAGUACAUAUGUGUAUUUUUAUGU
RNAcentral lists this long non-coding RNA (1754 nucleotides) under Neogobius melanostomus (round goby). RNAcentral describes it as "lncRNA (ENSNMLG00000005828.1)". The record is from RNAcentral. Lineage: Eukaryota; Metazoa; Chordata; Actinopteri; Gobiiformes; Gobiidae.